CACGCCGUAAACGAUGAGUGCUCAGUGUUAGAGGGUUUCCGCCCUUUAGUGCUGCAGCUAACGCAUUAAGCACUCCGCCUGGGGAGUACGGCCGCAAGGCUGAAACUCAAAGGAAUUGACGGGGGCCCGCACAAGCGGUGGAGCAUGUGGUUUAAUUCGAAGCAACGCGAAGAACCUUACCAGGUCUUGACAUCCUCUGACAACCCUAGAGAUAGGGCUUUCCCCUUCGGGGGACAGAGUGACAGGUGGUGCAUGGUUGUCGUCAGCUCGUGUCGUGAGAUGUUGGGUUAAGUCCCGCAACGAGCGCAACCCUUGAUCUUAGUUGCCAGCAUUCUGUUGGGCACUCUAAAGUGACUGCCGGUGACACAUCGGAUGGAUGUGGUGUUUAUGUAUAUUAGAAAACG
RNAcentral lists this ribosomal RNA (404 nucleotides) under uncultured bacterium. Its description in RNAcentral is "bacterial SSU rRNA". It matches the Rfam family "Bacterial small subunit ribosomal RNA", at positions 796 to 1197 of the family's 1533-position model. The record is from RNAcentral.